GGUUUUUUGGAAUUAAUGAAAAAUCGGACCUGCUCUAUGAUGUUUUGAAUGGCCGCAGUAUAUUGACUGUGCUAAGGUAGCAUAAUAAUUAGUCUUUUGAUUAGAGACUGGAAUGAAGGGUUUGUCAAGGGGAUAGCUGUCUUAGGGUUAGAGGAUUAAAAUUGAUUUAAGUGUGAGAAGGCACUUAUUGUACUAAGGGACGAGAAGACCCUAUUGAGUUUUACGUAUGUUAAGAUAUAUUUUGCUUGGUGAUUGGUUAAAUAUCAAAAAUAUAUGUUUUACUGGGGCGGUAGAGAAAGAGGAAAUCUUUUUAGAAAGUUGAGAUUAGGACUUUAAGAGAAAAUAAUGAUCCAAUUAGUUGGGAUUGAUAAUAGGAUUAAAUUACCAUAGGGAUAACAGCGUAAAGUUAUUGGAGAGUUCAUAUUGAUGAUAGUCUUUGCGACCUCGAUGUUGAAUUAGGGUGGCUGUUUGGUGAAGGAGCUUUAUAAGGGAGUCUGUUCGACUAAUGAUACCCUACA
This 518-nucleotide ribosomal RNA is filed under the name Damon diadema. RNAcentral's name for it is "partial 16S ribosomal RNA". It matches the Rfam family "Bacterial large subunit ribosomal RNA", at positions 1886 to 2600 of the family's 2925-position model. The record is from RNAcentral. Lineage: Eukaryota; Metazoa; Arthropoda; Arachnida; Amblypygi; Phrynichidae.